This 863-nucleotide ribosomal RNA is filed under the name Escherichia coli. RNAcentral's name for it is "partial 23S ribosomal RNA". It matches the Rfam family "Bacterial large subunit ribosomal RNA", at positions 612 to 1479 of the family's 2925-position model. Lineage: Bacteria; Pseudomonadati; Pseudomonadota; Gammaproteobacteria; Enterobacterales; Enterobacteriaceae. The record is from RNAcentral.
AUAAUGGGUCAGCGACUUAUAUUCUGUAGCAAGGUUAACCGAAUAGGGGAGCCGAAGGGAAACCGAGUCUUAACUGGGCGUUAAGUUGCAGGGUAUAGACCCGAAACCCGGUGAUCUAGCCAUGGGCAGGUUGAAGGUUGGGUAACACUAACUGGAGGACCGAACCGACUAAUGUUGAAAAAUUAGCGGAUGACUUGUGGCUGGGGGUGAAAGGCCAAUCAAACCGGGAGAUAGCUGGUUCUCCCCGAAAGCUAUUUAGGUAGCGCCUCGUGAAUUCAUCUCCGGGGGUAGAGCACUGUUUCGGCAAGGGGGUCAUCCCGACUUACCAACCCGAUGCAAACUGCGAAUACCGGAGAAUGUUAUCACGGGAGACACACGGCGGGUGCUAACGUCCGUCGUGAAGAGGGAAACAACCCAGACCGCCAGCUAAGGUCCCAAAGUCAUGGUUAAGUGGGAAACGAUGUGGGAAGGCCCAGACAGCCAGGAUGUUGGCUUAGAAGCAGCCAUCAUUUAAAGAAAGCGUAAUAGCUCACUGGUCGAGUCGGCCUGCGCGGAAGAUGUAACGGGGCUAAACCAUGCACCGAAGCUGCGGCAGCGACGCUUAUGCGUUGUUGGGUAGGGGAGCGUUCUGUAAGCCUGCGAAGGUGUGCUGUGAGGCAUGCUGGAGGUAUCAGAAGUGCGAAUGCUGACAUAAGUAACGAUAAAGCGGGUGAAAAGCCCGCUCGCCGGAAGACCAAGGGUUCCUGUCCAACGUUAAUCGGGGCAGGGUGAGUCGACCCCUAAGGCGAGGCCGAAAGGCGUAGUCGAUGGGAAACAGGUUAAUAUUCCUGUACUUGGUGUUACUGCGAAGGGGGGACGGAGAA